AGGACGAACGCUGGCGGCGUGCUUAACACAUGCAAGUCGAGCGGUAAGGCCUUUCGGGGUACACGAGCGGCGAACGGGUGAGUAACACGUGGGUGAUCUGCCCUGCACUCUGGGAUAAGCCUGGGAAACUGGGUCUAAUACCGGAUAUGACCUGCUCUCGCAGUGGGGGUGGGUGGAAAGAUUUAUCGGUGCAGGAUGGGCCCGCGGCCUAUCAGCUUGUUGGUGGGGUAAUGGCCUACCAAGGCGACGACGGGUAGCCGACCUGAGAGGGUGACCGGCCACACGUGGGACUGAGACACGGCCCAGACUCCUACGGGAGGCAGCAGUGGGAAUAUGCACAAUGGGCGAAAGCCUGAUGCAGCGACGCCGCGUGAGGAUGAAGGCCGUUCGGGUCGUAAACCUCUUUCAGCGAGGACGAAGCGACAAGUGACGGUACCUGACAGAAGAAGCACCGACUAAC
This 460-nucleotide ribosomal RNA is filed under the name uncultured soil bacterium. Its description in RNAcentral is "bacterial SSU rRNA". It matches the Rfam family "Bacterial small subunit ribosomal RNA", at positions 26 to 501 of the family's 1533-position model. The record is from RNAcentral.